AACGGGUGAGUAACACGUGGGUGAUCUGCCCUGCACUUUGGGAUAAGCUUGGGAAACUGGGUCUAAUACCGAAUAUGACCACUUCUUGGAUGUUGUGGUGGAAAGCUUUUGCGGUGUGGGAUGAGCCUGCGGCCUAUCAGCUUGUUGGUGGGGUAAUGGCCUACCAAGGCGGCGACGGGUAUCCGGCCUGAGAGGGUGUACGGACACAUUGGGACUGAGAUACGGCCCAGACUCCUACGGGAGGCAGCAGUGGGGAAUAUUGCACAAUGGGCGCAAGCCUGAUGCAGCGACGCCGCGUGGGGGAUGAAGGCCUUCGGGUUGUAAACUCCUUUCGCUAUCGACGAAGCCACUUGUGGUGACGGUAGGUAGAUAAGAAGCACCGGCUAACUACGUGCCAGCAGCCGCGGUAAU
This 411-nucleotide ribosomal RNA is filed under the name uncultured bacterium. RNAcentral's name for it is "bacterial SSU rRNA". It matches the Rfam family "Bacterial small subunit ribosomal RNA", at positions 101 to 524 of the family's 1533-position model. The record is from RNAcentral.